UACAGAGGGUGCGAGCGUUGUCCGGAAUCACUGGGCGUAAAGGGCGCGUAGGUGGUGGCUUAAGCGUGCGGUGAAAGCUCGGGGCUCAACCCCGAGUCGGCCGUGCGAACUGGGCUCACUGGAGCAUAGUAGAGGCAGGUGGAAUUCCGGGUGUAGCGGUGGAAUGCGUAGAGAUCCGGAAGAACACCGGUGGCGAAGGCGGCCUGCUGGGCUAUGGCUGACACUGAGGCGCGACAGCGUGGGGAGGCAAACAGG
This 255-nucleotide ribosomal RNA is filed under the name uncultured bacterium. RNAcentral describes it as "partial 16S ribosomal RNA". It matches the Rfam family "Bacterial small subunit ribosomal RNA", at positions 524 to 776 of the family's 1533-position model. The record is from RNAcentral.